CCUUCGAUAGCUCAGUUGGAAGAGCGUGAGACUGUAAUUGGUUACGCAUAGGCAUCUCAAGGUCGCUGGUUCGAACCCGGCUCGAAGGA
This is a non-coding RNA of Trametes meyenii, 89 nucleotides long. Lineage: Eukaryota; Fungi; Basidiomycota; Agaricomycetes; Polyporales; Polyporaceae. The record is from the annotation of a GenBank genome assembly.